CUCCAUUUCAUACCACAAUAAUCUCUCUCUCUAUCGGUGUCACUUAUUUUUAUCCUCUGUUUGCAUCAUUUAUUUUAUUUUGCUUUUUUUUUCUCAACUCUUUGUUGUUUAUCCAAUUUACGAAGAAAUGUAGAAAUUGGUGUUAAGGUGCAUACGUUCUCUAGAUGUUAUCAAUUAUUUUAUGAGAUUUGCUACCUUCAGUUUUUUUUUAAAAAGAAUAAUAACUUCCCA
RNAcentral lists this long non-coding RNA (231 nucleotides) under Phaseolus vulgaris (common bean). RNAcentral describes it as "long non-coding RNA (PVUL_LNC004235)". Lineage: Eukaryota; Viridiplantae; Streptophyta; Magnoliopsida; Fabales; Fabaceae. The record is from RNAcentral.